UGGGGAAUAUUGGACAAUGGGCGCAAGCCUGAUCCAGCAAUGCCGCGUGAGUGAUGAAGGCCUUAGGGUUGUAAAGCUCUUUCGCACGCGACGAUGAUGACGGUAGCGUGAGAAGAAGCCCCGGCUAACUUCGUGCCAGCAGCCGCGGUAAUACGAAGGGGGCUAGCGUUGUUCGGAAUUACUGGGCGUAAAGGGCGCGUAGGCGGCCUGUUUAGUCAGAAGUGAAAGCCCCGGGCUCAACCUGGGAAUAGCUUUUGAUACUGGCAGGCUUGAGUUCCGGAGAGGAUGGUGGAAUUCCCAGUGUAGAGGUGAAAUUCGUAGAUAUUGGGAAGAACACCGGUGGCGAAGGCGGCCAUCUGGACGGACACUGACGCUGAGGCGCGAAAAGCGUGGGGAGCAAACAGGAUUAGAUACCCUGGUAGUCCACGCCGUAAACGAUAAUGCUAGACGUCGGGGUGCAUGNACUUCGGUGUCGCCGCUAACGCAUUAAGCAUUCCGCCUGGGGGAGUACGGCCGCAAGGUUAAAACUC
RNAcentral lists this ribosomal RNA (530 nucleotides) under uncultured bacterium. RNAcentral's name for it is "partial 16S ribosomal RNA". It matches the Rfam family "Bacterial small subunit ribosomal RNA", at positions 355 to 902 of the family's 1533-position model. The record is from RNAcentral.